UACGAGGGGGGCAAGUGUUGUUCGGAAUUACUGGGCGUAAAGGGCGCGUAGGCGGUCUCUUAAGUUGGAUGUUUAAAACCGGGGCCUAACCCCGGCGUGGCAUCCAAAACUGGGAGUCUUGAAUGGGACAGAGGCCAGUGGAAUUAGAGGUGUAGCGGUGGAAUGCGUAGAUAUCUCUAAGAACACCAGUUGCGAAGGCGGCUGGCUGGGUCCACAUUGACGCUGAGGCUCGAAAGCGUGGGGAGCAAACAGG
This 253-nucleotide ribosomal RNA is filed under the name uncultured bacterium. RNAcentral's name for it is "partial 16S ribosomal RNA". It matches the Rfam family "Bacterial small subunit ribosomal RNA", at positions 524 to 776 of the family's 1533-position model. The record is from RNAcentral.